Micropterus dolomieu (smallmouth bass) is the source of this 1304-nucleotide RNA transcript. It is a transcript of the gene named Epstein-Barr virus induced 3, with no coding region annotated. The transcript is spliced from 8 exons. Lineage: Eukaryota; Metazoa; Chordata; Actinopteri; Centrarchiformes; Centrarchidae. The record is from RefSeq and is a predicted model, not a curated record.
UUGACUCGCAGAGCAACAUAAAGCACUGCAGAAAGAAACAAGAGAGCAAAGAACAAUAGAUUAGAGUAAUAUCUCGCGUAAGUGAGGGCUGACUACUACCUGAAGCACUGAUGGCUGCAAAGGCUGACAGCGCGUGUGUUGCCAUGACCCUCCUCAUCAUGUGUGUUCUUGAAGGCCAAGCGCUGGACCUGCUGAGGGCAACUGCAACGUCAGGGUAUCCUCCCCCCACUCCCACAGUGCAUUGCUGGUGUAUGAGCUAUCCAAACAUGACUCUUUGCUCCUGGCCUGAACCUUCUCGCUCCCCACCAACACAUUACAUUGCCACCUACAGCGAGAGACACGGACAGCAGGUCACCAAGAAGUGCCAUCUCAUCCAACCUGGCUCUUCAUCCUCUGCUCUGAUAUCAGCAUCUUCAUCUUCAACUGAAAGGCUGUGGCACUGCCAGCUGCCCAACCUGAAACUUCUCACCGACUACAUAAUCAAUGUCACCGCUGUUUAUUCUGUUGGAAGCAGCUCUCAUCUAUCAAGUUUCAUGUUGGAGGAUAUUGUGAAACCAGAUCCUCCCCUAGACGUCCGGGUAUCCCCUCAUAAUGUCAGAAACUUGUUGGUGGAAUGGUCUCCUCCCCCUACUUGGGCUAACCUGGACAUCCUCCCCCUAAAAUACCAGAUACUGUACCAGUGGCAAAACAGGGGCACCCCAAAGUCUGUCAAUCUGGGUCCAUUUGAGAGCACCAAGGUUGAAUUGAAGGGGCUGACACCAGGAAGGCUCUACCUGUUCCAGGUAAACCACGGACUCCUGGGUUGAAUUAUACAUGAUCAUGAGGUGAAGAAACCCUAUCUUGACCGAGGCCCUGGUCUUGGCUGUCCUCCAGUCUGUAGCGGAUCUGGUAUUUGGCCUGAAACAGGAAGUCCUUGAGAGCAGGCGGGGCCUCCCAGCGAACACUCAGCUGGUCCUCUAACUGCCCGACGCGACUGACAGCCACACCUGACGGAGGGUCCGUGGUCACUGGAGGACGAGGAGAUGGAGGAGGUUGUUAAGUAAGAAGAUCUCAUCAAGAGCUAAAACAAUGAAAAUAUGCCUAAAAUCAACUGGGUCCAAUUCUCAAAUAUGAAUAUUUACUAGUUUUUUGACUGUUGGUCAAAGCCAUUUGAAUACACCACCUUUGGUUCCAGGAAAAUGUGAUGGGUAUUUUCUGACAUUUUGUAGACCAAAGUACAGUAUUAUCAAUCAUGUCGUAGUAUCCAUUAAUCAAUAAAAUACUUGUUAGUUGUAGCCCAAAUCUCAUCAUAUCUAACAAGUCAU